RNAcentral lists this long non-coding RNA (845 nucleotides) under Ananas comosus (pineapple). Its description in RNAcentral is "long non-coding RNA (ACOM_LNC039701)". Lineage: Eukaryota; Viridiplantae; Streptophyta; Magnoliopsida; Poales; Bromeliaceae. The record is from RNAcentral.
CGAACGGACAGCACCUCCCCUGUCCGCCCAAGGCUCAACAACAGGAAUGUGUACAAGAAUUUACCCAGGAAUUUAAAUUCUAAACAUACACAUUCAACGAGGGCACAAACAGUGCCAACAACCAGAAGAGCAAGUAAUCCACGAGAUAUACAAGUGAAAUAAAGAGAGUACUUUACUAACUAUUACAAUAGUUACAUCAUUUUCCAAAGUGAAUACAUUUGAUCCUCAAAAUACAUAGCUCUCCGACCUCACCUACAUGAAUCUCUCUCAAUACAUAGGUGACUAAUGCAAAAAGGAAAGCUACUAUACUACCACGGUCUCACUGGUCGGGCGCGACGCCCUUGCCGCGGUCCUCUCUCUGCAGCCCUGAACCUACCACUGGAAAUAGAGUGGGGUGAGAACUAUCUUCCAUAGUUCCCAGUGGGCUCGGCCGCCGACUCUGCCGAUCUCCCCACUAGGUCCAAGUGGGCACAAGUAACAACAAAUAGAUAGAUAGAUAUGUAUCUGAAAGCUGUAAAUGCAGUAGUAGGAAAACUAUGCUACUAUGCCCAUAAUCAUGAAUAUGAAUGCAUGCAUCAUAUAAUAAAGGUUUGCUACCAUGCUAACAAAUUCGAUCCAUGUUCGAAUAGUAAUGUUCAAUGACAUUUAUAAACCUUUAACCUUUUUCAUUUACCCAAUCUGUGGCGAGGCCCUAGGGCUCGCCCAUGACUCACCUUCAAAUCCCAAAGUGGGGAGGGAGCUCCAAGUGCACCCAAGCCCGGGACCGUCUGCGGACCUCCAUGUGGUCUGGACCUCCAAGUGGUCCUAGUCGCGCGACACUCCGGAGUACUCGACGACAAUCCCCU